GCAUGUAUGGGUACCAACUUUUCAAACCCAAAAAAUUACGGGUAAAACAGGUGGGUACCCAUUAAGCUGUGGGCAUUUUGGGUAACCUGCGGGUACCCACGAAUACCCACACAUAUAUUUUUUAAUUAAAAAAUAUAUAUUUUAAUUAAAAUACAUAUAUUUUUAUUUAUCCAUCCUAAAAAUUCUAAUCCUAAUUUCUUAUCGCGUCUUUUAUAUUACGAAUUUUUUUU
RNAcentral lists this long non-coding RNA (230 nucleotides) under Ananas comosus (pineapple). Its description in RNAcentral is "long non-coding RNA (ACOM_LNC018287)". The record is from RNAcentral. Lineage: Eukaryota; Viridiplantae; Streptophyta; Magnoliopsida; Poales; Bromeliaceae.